RNAcentral lists this ribosomal RNA (422 nucleotides) under Bacillus pumilus. Its description in RNAcentral is "bacterial SSU rRNA". The stretch from base 7 to 186 matches the Rfam family "Bacterial small subunit ribosomal RNA", at positions 571 to 750 of the family's 1533-position model. Lineage: Bacteria; Bacillati; Bacillota; Bacilli; Caryophanales; Bacillaceae. The record is from RNAcentral.
GGGCUCGCAGGCGGUUUCUUAAGUCUGAUGUGAAAGCCCCCGGCUCAACCGGGGAGGGUCAUUGGAAACUGGGAAACUUGAGUGCAGAAGAGGAGAGUGGAAUUCCACGUGUAGCGGUGAAAUGCGUAGAGAUGUGGAGGAACACCGGUGCCGAAGGCGACUCUCUGUUCUGGAACUGACCCUGAGCUACGAGGUCAUGGACCGCUAUCCCGAUGCGAUGACGCGGAAGUCGACUCCGAGGGUGAUCGGCGCAUACUGGUACUGAGACACGCCCCACACUCCUACGGGAGGCAGCAGUAGGGAAUCUUCCGUGAUGGACGAAAGUCUGACGGAGCAACUCCACGUGAGUGAUGAAGGUUUUCGGAUCAUACAGCUCUGUUGUUACGGAAGAACAAGUGCAAGAGUAACUGCUUGCACCUUGA